GGUUAAGUGACUAAGCGUACACGGUGGAUGCCUAGGCAGUCAGAGGCGAUGAAGGGCGUGCUAAUCUGCGAAAAGCGUCGGUAAGGUGAUAUGAACCGUUAUAACCGGCGAUACCCGAAUGGGGAAACCCAGUGUGUUUCGACACACUAUCAUGUCAUGAAUACAUAGUGGCAUGAGGCGAACCGGGGGAACUGAAACAUCUAAGUACCCCGAGGAAAAGAAAUCAACCGAGAUUCCCCCAGUAGCGGCGAGCGAACGGGGAGGAGCCCAGAACCUGAAUCGGCUUGUGUGUUAGUGGAAGCGUCUGGAAAGUCGCGCAGCAAAGGGUGAUAGCCCCGUACACUAAAAUGCACAGGUCGUGAGUUCGAUGAGUAGGGCGGGACACGUGACAUCCUGUCUGAAUAUGGGGGGACCAUCCUCCAAGGCUAAAUACUCCUGACUGACCGAUAGUGAACCAGUACCGUGAGGGAAAGGCGAAAAGAACCCCGGCGAGGGGAGUGAAAUAGAACCUGAAACCGUGUACGUACAAGCAGUGGGAGCACCUUCGUGGUGUGACUGCGUACCUUUUGUAUAAUGGGUCAGCGACUUAUAUUUUGUAGCAAGGUUAACCGUAUAGGGGAGCCGUAGGGAAACCGAGUCUUAACUGGGCGACUAGUUGCAAGGUAUAGACCCGAAACCCGGUGAUCUAGCCAUGGGCAGGUUGAAGGUUGGGUAACACUAACUGGAGGACCGAACCGACUAAUGUUGAAAAAUUAGCGGAUGACUUGUGGCUGGGGGUGAAAGGCCAAUCAAACCGGGAGAUAGCUGGUUCUCCCCGAAAGCUAUUUAGGUAGCGCCUCGUGAACUCAUCUUCGGGGGUAGAGCACUGUUUCGGCUAGGGGGCCAUCCCGGCUUACCAAACCGAUGCAAACUCCGAAUACCGAAGAAUGUUAUCACGGGAGACACACGGCGGGUGCUAACGUCCGUCGUGAAGAGGGANNNNNNNNNNNNNNNNNNNNNNNNNNNNNNNNNNNNNNNNNNNNNNNNNNGACGCCAGUCUGCGUGGAGCCAUCCUUGAAAUACCACCCUUUAAUGUUUGAUGUUCUAACUCGGCCCCAUAAUCUGGGGUGAGGACAGUGUCUGGUGGGUAGUUUGACUGGGGCGGUCUCCUCCCAAAGAGUAACGGAGGAGCACGAAGGUUAGCUAAUCACGGUCGGACAUCGUGAGGUUAGUGCAAAGGCAUAAGCUAGCUUGACUGCGAGAGUGACGGCUCGAGCAGGUACGAAAGUAGGUCUUAGUGAUCCGGUGGUUCUGAAUGGAAGGGCCAUCGCUCAACGGAUAAAAGGUACUCCGGGGAUAACAGGCUGAUACCGCCCAAGAGUUCAUAUCGACGGCGGUGUUUGGCACCUCGAUGUCGGCUCAUCACAUCCUGGGGCUGAAGUAGGUCCCAAGGGUAUGGCUGUUCGCCAUUUAAAGUGGUACGCGAGCUGGGUUUAGAACGUCGUGAGACAGUUCGGUCCCUAUCUGCCGUGGGCGUUGGAAGAUUGAGAGGGGUUGCUCCUAGUACGAGAGGACCGGAGUGAACGCACCACUGGUGUUCGGGUUGUCAUGCCAAUGGCAUUGCCCGGUAGCUAAGUGCGGAAAAGAUAAGCGCUGAAAGCAUCUAAGCGCGAAACUUGCCUCAAGAUGAGUCUUCCCUGGGCCUUUAAGGCCCCUGAAGGAACGUUUAAGACUAAGACGUUGAUAGGCUGGGUGUGUAAGUGCAGCGAUGCAUUGAGCUAACCAGUACUAAUGAUCCGUGAGGCUUAACCUU
This 1792-nucleotide ribosomal RNA is filed under the name Oryza sativa Indica Group (long-grained rice). RNAcentral describes it as "Bacterial large subunit ribosomal RNA". It matches the Rfam family "Bacterial large subunit ribosomal RNA". Lineage: Eukaryota; Viridiplantae; Streptophyta; Magnoliopsida; Poales; Poaceae. The record is from Rfam by way of RNAcentral.